UACGUAGGGGGCUAGCGUUAUCCGGAAUUACUGGGCGUAAAGGGUGCGUAGGUGGUUUCUUAAGUCAGAGGUGAAAGGCUACGGCUCAACCGUAGUAAGCCUUUGAAACUGGGGAACUUGAGUGCAGGAGAGGAGAGUGGAAUUCCUAGUGUAGCGGUGAAAUGCGUAGAUAUUAGGAGGAACACCAGUGGCGAAGGCGGCCUGCUGGACGAUGACUGACGUUGAGGCUCGAAAGCGUGGGGAGCAAACAGG
This 252-nucleotide ribosomal RNA is filed under the name uncultured bacterium. Its description in RNAcentral is "partial 16S ribosomal RNA". It matches the Rfam family "Bacterial small subunit ribosomal RNA", at positions 524 to 776 of the family's 1533-position model. The record is from RNAcentral.